UACGGAGGAUCCAAGCGUUAUCCGGAAUUACUGGGCGUAAAGAGUUGCGUAGGUGGCAUUGUAAGUGGGUAGUGAAAGCGUUCGGCUCAACCGAAUACACAUUACCUAAACUGCAAAGCUAGAGGAUGAGAGAGGUUAUUGGAAUUCCCAGUGUAGGAGUGAAAUCCGUAGAUAUUGGGAAGAACACCGAUGGCGUAGGCAGAUAACUGGCUCAUUCCUGACACUAAGGCACGAAAGCGUGGGUAGCAAACGGG
This 254-nucleotide ribosomal RNA is filed under the name uncultured bacterium. RNAcentral's name for it is "partial 16S ribosomal RNA". It matches the Rfam family "Bacterial small subunit ribosomal RNA", at positions 524 to 776 of the family's 1533-position model. The record is from RNAcentral.